AUUGAACGCUGGCGGCAUGCUUUACCAAUGAAAGUCGAACGCAAGCGCGGGCUUCGGCCUGGCGGCGAGUGGCGAACGGGUGAGUAAUAAAUCGGAAGGUGCCCGGUAGUGGGGGAUAGCCCGGCAAAAGCGGGUUUAAUCCGGCAACCGACCUGAGGGUGAAACGGGGGGUUCUCCGGCCGCGGCCCUUUUGGAGGGGCCGAUGGCGGAUUAGCUAGUUGGUGGGGUAAAGGCCUACCAAGGCGACGAUCUGUAGCUGGUCUGAGAGGACGACCAGCCACACUGGGACUGAGACACGGCCCAGACUCCUACGGGAGGCAGCAGUGGGGAAUUUUGGACAAUGGGCGAAAGCCUGAUCCAGCAAUGCCGCGUGUGUGAUGAAGGCCUUCGGGUUGUAAAGCACUUUUGGCGGGAACGAAAAGGACUGUGCCAAUACCACGGUUCGAUGACGGUACCCGCAGAAUAAGCACCGGCUAACUACGUG
RNAcentral lists this ribosomal RNA (484 nucleotides) under uncultured bacterium. RNAcentral's name for it is "partial 16S ribosomal RNA". It matches the Rfam family "Bacterial small subunit ribosomal RNA", at positions 29 to 507 of the family's 1533-position model. The record is from RNAcentral.